This is a long non-coding RNA of Melozone crissalis (California towhee), 963 nucleotides long. RefSeq lists it as uncharacterized. The record is from RefSeq and is a predicted model, not a curated record. The transcript is spliced from 3 exons. NCBI's taxonomy places the organism in Eukaryota, Metazoa, Chordata, Aves, Passeriformes, Passerellidae.
AGAACACGGCGCGGGCGUCGCCGCCCGCCCGCGGGCAGCUGAACCCGCUCACCAGCACCUUGUCGGCGUUGAGAGUCAUAGAAUGUCCUGACUUGGAAGGACCCACAAGGAUCAUGGAAGUCCAGCUACUGAAUUUAAAGUGAAUUUGGAGUGGCACUGUUUCCCCUGGAAGACAGGUACAGCUCCAGAGUUCCCCUUUAUGAAACCAGCCAUGCCUUGAGGGCAGCCUGGAACCAUAGCCCUGGGAUACAGCCCACACCCUGAACCUGCCUGUUCCUGGGAUUCCAGAGGGCAUGAACACCCCCAGAGUGGCUGUAAGGAAUUCUUCCAAGUUCCCCCUUAACUCCUUUCCAUGUUGAUUCUGGCUCUGAGAUAGAGAAGCUACAGGUGGUAUUUGCUUAUUCAGAUUAGCAGAUAACAUGCAGACAAAACAUGCCCCAGUGACAGGAUUUAUUGAUGGAGCCUUUGGAAGGAGCUCCUUUAAAAAGCACAAAUAUUGCUCAAUAUUAAACAGCUUCCAUGUUUUUCUCCAACAGAUAUUUGAGUGGGCAUGGGACUGGUUCUGCUGUAUCUCACUUGUGAAUGAUGGGGGAUGAGGACUUUGACCAGAGAGGAUUUAGGCCUCUCAUUCGGUCCAAAUCCAUCAGUAUCCAUUUCUGCUGAGCUCAAGAAAAUGUGCAUCUCCCUAUUUAGCUUCUCUGUCUUCCUGCCAAUGUUUCAGUGACCUGCUGUUCUGGACCAGUGAGCUCAGACAUCUGAGGAGGGGAAAAGGAAGGUGUAAAUACAAAGCUGGAGAAAAAAGGCUGAAAAUGAGAAGGGAUGCUGCCUUUUUGGGCAGCAGUGAAACUGGACUGCCUGACUGUAUCACAGAUGUGUCACUUGUGGGAUUUAUGCUGAUUUUAGCUUCUAUAAUUUGUGAAAGGGGCUAUAAGAGGUUAUAGUAUUAAGUAUAAUAAGUGUGCU